GACAGGAUCAUCUGGAUCCAUAGAUGGAACAACAGUGACCACUCAUAUGAGAGACCCAGAUGUUUCCACAGUGACCAUGACUGGACUAAGGUCAGAGGACAGUGGCUGGUAUUGGUGUUCUGAAGGGGACAUUCAGAUACCAGUAUAUUUAAAUGUUACUGAGAAACCGAUUAAGAUACAAGAAAAUAAAGAACACAGAGCUUCAUAUGACACAAAGAUCCUCAUCAUCCCUCUGAGUGUGUUGGUCUUGAUUUUAAUUAUGGUGUUGAUCUGGUUUAUACUGAGUCACAAGAAGCGCAAAGUAGAAUUAUCAGCGACAGCAAUGACUGGAGAGGAUGUAAGAUACUCUGAAAUUGGACUCAAAGAAAAUAGUUCACCCAGGGUGGACAAAGAAGUGAUAUACUCUGAAAUUAAACCUAAGAAAAAAAGUUCAACCAAGAGUUUAUUUGCUGAAUGUGACGUGGAACUCACGUAUAGUUCUGUUGUUAAGAAACAGCGCAUUAAAUGGGUAAAUAUUAAAAGACCUGAAGCCAACCACACACUAGAUGUCACUUCCCUUUAUCUCUUAAUUUGUUCAAUUAUUUUGCUUGUUGUCCUAGUGUUUCAUGAUUUCUUUUUUAAUUUCGUCACAUUUUUCUUAGCUUUUUCCCUAAUUG
Molecule: long non-coding RNA, 656 nt
Organism: Astatotilapia calliptera (eastern happy)
Lineage: Eukaryota; Metazoa; Chordata; Actinopteri; Cichliformes; Cichlidae
Source: Ensembl